CCUUCUUCUUCUCUCUUUCUCCUUUUUUCCUUUUCUUCCCUCUCUUUCCUUCUUUUCUCUCCUUCUUUCUUUCCCUCUCCCCUUCUUCCCCUUUCUCUUCCUUUCGAGACUUUCGGACUAGAGGCAGGUAGAGGCAAGUGGAAUUCCGGGUGCAGUGGUGAAAUGCGUAGAGAUCCGGAGGAACCCCGGUGGCGAAGGCGACUUGCUGGGCCUGAACUGACGCUCAGACGCGAAAGCAUGGGGAGCGAACGG
Molecule: ribosomal RNA, 252 nt
Filed under: uncultured prokaryote
Description: partial 16S ribosomal RNA
Rfam family: Bacterial small subunit ribosomal RNA
Source: RNAcentral